RNAcentral lists this ribosomal RNA (498 nucleotides) under uncultured bacterium. RNAcentral describes it as "partial 16S ribosomal RNA". It matches the Rfam family "Bacterial small subunit ribosomal RNA", at positions 28 to 508 of the family's 1533-position model. The record is from RNAcentral.
GAUGAACGCUGGCGGCGUGCCUAAUACAUGCAAGUCGAGCGAACAGAUAAGGAGCUUGCUCCUUUGACGUUAGCGGCGGACGGGUGAGUAACACGUGGGUAACCUACCUAUAAGACUGGAAUAACUCCGGGAAACCGGGGCUAAUGCCGGAUAACAUUUAGAACCGCAUGGUUCUAAAGUGAAAGAUGGUUUUACUAUCACUUAUAGAUGGACCCGCGCCGUAUUAGCUAGUUGGUAAGGUAACGGCUUACCAAGGCAACGAUACGUAGCCGACCUGAGAGGGUGAUCGGCCACACUGGAACUGAGACACGGUCCAGACUCCUACGGGAGGCAGCAGUAGGGAAUCUUCCGCAAUGGGCGAAAGCCUGACGGAGCAACGCCGCGUGAGUGAUGAAGGUCUUCGGAUCGUAAAACUCUGUUAUUAGGGAAGAACAAAUGUGUAAGUAACUGUGCACGUCUUGACGGUACCUAAUCAGAAAGCCACGGCUAACUACGUGC